AUGAACGCUGGCGGCGUGCAUAACACAUUCAAGUCGAACGAAGCAUUUAAGAUGGAGACUUCGGUCAAAGUCUUAUUUGACUUAGUGGCGGACGGGUGAGUAACGCGUGAGCAACCUGCCCUUUUGUUCGGGAUAACGUUUGGAAACGGACGCUAAUACCGAAUGACGUGUUGAGAUUGCAUGGUCUUAACACCAAAGAUUUAUUGCAAAAGGAUGGGCCUGCGGCGUAUUAACUAGUUGGUAAGGUAAUGGCUUACCAAGGCGACGAUGCGUAGCCGGCCUGAGAGGGUGAUCGGCCACAUUGGGACUGAGACACGGUCCAGACUCCUACGGGAGGCAGCAGUGAGGAAUAUUGGUCAAUGGUCUGACGACUGAACCAGCCAUGCCGCGUGAAGGUGACGGCCCUAUGGGUCUUAAACUUCUUUUGUAAGGGAGCAAUAAGAGCUACGUGUAGCUUGAUGAGAGUACCUUACGAAUAAGCAUCGGCUAACUCCGUG
This 497-nucleotide ribosomal RNA is filed under the name uncultured bacterium. Its description in RNAcentral is "bacterial SSU rRNA". It matches the Rfam family "Bacterial small subunit ribosomal RNA", at positions 29 to 507 of the family's 1533-position model. The record is from RNAcentral.